UUUACACUCACUAUAGACACGUGAGCAACA
This 30-nucleotide non-coding RNA is filed under the name Mus musculus (house mouse). Lineage: Eukaryota; Metazoa; Chordata; Mammalia; Rodentia; Muridae. The record is from RNAcentral.